Zootoca vivipara (common lizard) is the source of this 1310-nucleotide non-coding RNA. Lineage: Eukaryota; Metazoa; Chordata; Lepidosauria; Squamata; Lacertidae. The record is from RefSeq and is a predicted model, not a curated record.
ACUUGUUGCUAUGGGCACCAUUAUCACUGGAUUCCAUUCCUUGUGUAAUGUCAAGAAUGUGCUUUAUUUCUUACUCCCGCUCCGCAAUUACAAGCAGAUGCAGAGACAGAUUAGCCAAUCAAAUAAGUGCUAUUAUCUUCCUGAUUUGCCACUGCCAUGCACUGUUUUACUCUCAGGAACAUGAGCAAAUGUAAUGAGGAUUCCUGUAGGACAUUAUCUUUUGAGAAUGGAAAAUAAAACCCUUCUGUGCAGCGAAGUUUAGAAGAGUUAAAAUAACAGAUUUAGCUUCCUUGGUAGCUGAAGCUUUGGGGAUUGAAAAAUGCUUGCUGUGUGUGUGUGUUGCUUGCAAGCGAGUCACUGUUUCCUUGGCUACCACAACAAACGAGGCCACAGGCAGGCACUGGAGCCAGAAGAAAGAUAAGCUCUGAACUCUACUUGGCAAUUCCAAAGUGUGCGGAAAGAGCAACAGGGACAAAAAGUGGAAAACGGCAAGGUAUUUUGUAUGGGCAGAUCUAGCGGAGACAUUUCUGUUUCUUUACCAUCUCCAAUGAGGAAACCAUGCCUAUUUCUUCAGGGGCCCAGGGACAGGUUGGAUUUGGAGUCGACACAUCCAUUCAAUGGCAUCCCAAAGGAGAUCAAAAACUCUCUAGGCCACUAUAUUUCAAGGUCGACUCCUAUCGCCAGAGAUACUUACGCUGCCACCCUGAAGCCAAAAUCAGAUGUUUCACCCAGCACUCGGAAGUGAAAAGACAGUGGGGGAAAAAUCAUCCAGAAUGCGCAGCACCCCAGAGUGGAAACGGUUUAACCAUUCCAGCUACCAAAAGUACAUUGCUUACCAGUGGAAAAACCGAAGACACAAGCUGCAGAAGGAAAGAUGGCAUUUCCAGAUUCUCUCUUUGUACCCUACUAUAAUCUUAUGAGAAUAUCAUGAAAUAGAAACUAUAUUUGAUAUUACAUUUAUUUAAAAUGGAGAUAAAAAAGAAGUCAUACUUCGAAAGCUCUCCUAGAUAGCUAUAUGUUUUCUGAAGUUUGUACGCUAGGGUUACCAGAUGUCCCUAUUUCCCAGGGACAGUCCCUGGAUUUGCAAAUCUGUCCCCAGACAAAUUCCGUCCCGAAAUGUCCUCAGAUUUGCAAAUCUGUCUCCAGAAAAUGUGCCAGUGGCAGGCUCAGCAGCCCGGAGCCAGCCUGGUAGUGCAGUUGGCUCUGGCUGGCCAUUUUUCUUCUCCGGAAGUCCCCAUAUUAUGUGUCUUGUGCGCAACACAUCAUAUGGGGACUUCUGGAGAGGAAAAAUGACAGGCACCGCGGCAGCG